RNAcentral lists this ribosomal RNA (253 nucleotides) under uncultured bacterium. RNAcentral describes it as "partial 16S ribosomal RNA". It matches the Rfam family "Bacterial small subunit ribosomal RNA", at positions 524 to 776 of the family's 1533-position model. The record is from RNAcentral.
UACGUAGGGUGCAAGCGUUAAUCGGAAUUACUGGGCGUAAAGCGUGCGCAGGCGGUUUUGUAAGUCUGACGUGAAAUCCCCGGGCUCAACCUGGGAAUUGCGUUGGAGACUGCAAGGCUAGAAUCUGGCAGAGGGGGGUAGAAUUCCACGUGUAGCAGUGAAAUGCGUAGAGAUGUGGAGGAACACCGAUGGCGAAGGCAGCCCCCUGGGUCAAGAUUGACGCUCGUGCACGAAAGCGUGGGGAGCAAACAGG